CAUUAGCUAGUUGGUAAGGUAACGGCUUACCAAGGCGAUGAUGCAUAGCCGAGUUGAGAGACUGAUCGGCCACAAUGGAACUGAGACACGGUCCAUACUCCUACGGGAGGCAGCAGUAGGGAAUCUUCCACAAUGGGCGCAAGCCUGAUGGAGCAACACCGCGUGAGUGAAGAAGGGUUUCGGCUCGUAAAGCUCUGUUGUUGGAGAAGAACGUGCGUGAGAGUAACUGUUCACGCAGUGACGGUAUCCAACCAGAAAGUCACGGCUAACUACGUGCCAGCAGCCGCGGUAAUACGUAGGUGGCAAGCGUUAUCCGGAUUUAUUGGGCGUAAAGCGAGCGCAGGCGGUUGCUUAGGUCUGAUGUGAAAGCCUUCGGCUUAACCGAAGAAGUGCAUCGGAAACCGGGCGACUUGAGUGCAGAAGAGGACAGUGGAACUCCAUGUGUAGCGGUGGAAUGCGUAGAUAUAUGGAAGAACACCAGUGGCGAAGGCGGCUGUCUGGUCUGCAACUGACGCUGAGGCUCGAAAGCAUGGGUAGCGAACAGGAUUAGAUACCCUGGUAGUCCAUGCCGUAAACGAUGAGUGCUAGGUGUUGGAGGGUUUCCGCCCUUCAGUGCCGGAGCUAACGCAUUAAGCACUCCGCCUGGGGAGUACGACCGCAAGGUUGAAACUCAAAGGAAUUGACGGGGGCCCGCACAAGCGGUGGAGCAUGUGGUUUAAUUCGAAGCUACGCGAAGAACCUUACCAGGUCUUGACAUCUUGCGCUAACCUUAGAGAUAAGGCGUUCCCUUCGGGGACGCAAUGACAGGUGGUGCAUGGUCGUCGUCAGCUCGUGUCGUGAGAUGUUGGGUUAAGUCCCGCAACGAGCGCAACCCUUGUUACUAGUUGCCAGCAUUAAGUUGGGCACUCUAGUGAGACUGCCGGUGACAAACCGGAGGAAGGUGGGGACGACGUCAGAUCAUCAUGCCCCUUAUGACCUGGGCUACACACGUGCUACAAUGGACGGUACAACGAGUCGCAAACUCGCGAGAGUAAGCUAAUCUCUUAAAGCCGUUCUCAGUUCGGACUGUAGGCUGCAACUCGCCUACACGAAGUCGGAAUCGCUAGUAAUCGCGGAUCAGCAUGCCGCGGUGAAUACGUUCCCGGGCCUUGUACACACCGCCCGUCACACCAUGGGAGUUUGUAACGCCCAAAGUCGGUGGCCUAACCUUUAUGGAGGGAGCCGCCUAAGGCGGGACAGAUGACUGGGGUGAAGUCGUAACAAGGUAGCCGUAGGAGAACCUGCGGCUGGAUCACCUCCUUUCUAAGGAA
This 1310-nucleotide ribosomal RNA is filed under the name Limosilactobacillus reuteri. Its description in RNAcentral is "bacterial SSU rRNA". It matches the Rfam family "Bacterial small subunit ribosomal RNA", at positions 239 to 1533 of the family's 1533-position model. Lineage: Bacteria; Bacillati; Bacillota; Bacilli; Lactobacillales; Lactobacillaceae. The record is from RNAcentral.